AACAGAAUUGCUGGGUCUUAUGGUAACUCUAUGUUUAACAUUUUGAGGAACUGCCAAGCUCUUUUCUAAAGCAAGCUAUACCACUUUAUAUCUUCAUUAGCAGU
This 104-nucleotide microRNA precursor is filed under the name Marmota monax (woodchuck). The record is from RNAcentral. Lineage: Eukaryota; Metazoa; Chordata; Mammalia; Rodentia; Sciuridae.